RNAcentral lists this ribosomal RNA (271 nucleotides) under uncultured prokaryote. Its description in RNAcentral is "partial 16S ribosomal RNA". It matches the Rfam family "Bacterial small subunit ribosomal RNA", at positions 524 to 794 of the family's 1533-position model. The record is from RNAcentral.
UACGUAGGUGUCGAGCGUUGUCCGGAUUUACUGGGCGUAAAGGGAGCGUAGGCGGACUUUUAAGUGAGAUGUGAAAUACCCGGGCUCAACUUGGGUGCUGCAUUUCAAACUGGAAGUCUAGGGUGCAGGAGAGGAGAAUGGAAUUCCUAGUGUAGCGGUGAAAUGCGUAGAGAUUAGGAAGAACACCAGUGGCGAAGGCGGCUCUCUGGCCUGUAACUGACGCUGAGGCGCGAAAGCUAGGGUAGCGAACGGGAUUAGAUACCCUGGUAGU